GUGAGUAACGCGUGAGAAUCUAGCUUCAGGUCGGGGACAACCACUGGAAACGGUGGCUAAUACCGGAUGUGCCGGAAGGUGAAAGAUUUAUUGCCUAGAGAUGAGCUCGCGUCUGAUUAGCUAGUAGGUGUGGUAAGAGCGCACCUAGGCGACGAUCAGUAGCUGGUCUGAGAGGAUGAUCAGCCACACUGGGACUGAGACACGGCCCAGACUCCUACGGGAGGCAGCAGUGGGGAAUUUUCCGCAAUGGGCGAAAGCCUGACGGAGCAAUACCGCGUGAGGGAGGAAGGCUCUUGGGUUGUAAACCUCUUUUCUCAAGGAAGAAAAAAAUGACGGUACUUGAGGAAUAAGCAUCGGCUAACUCCGUGCCAGCAGCCGCGGUAAUACGGAGGAUGCAAGCGUUAUCCGGAAUGAUUGGGCGUAAAGCGUCCGCAGGUGGCAAUGUAAGUCUGCUGUUAAAGAGUGAGGCUCAACCUCAUAAGAGCAGUGGAAACUACAUAGCUAGAGUGCGUUCGGGGCAGAGGGAAUUCCUGGUGUAGCGGUGAAAUGCGUAGAGAUCAGGAAGAACACCGGUGGCGAAAGCGCUCUGCUAGGCCGCAACUGACACUGAGGGACGAAAGCUAGGGGAGCGAAUGGGAUUAGAUACCCCAGUAGUCCUAGCCGUAAACGAUGGAUACUAGGCGUGGCUUGUAUCGACCCGAGCCGUGCCGGAGCUAACGCGUUAAGUAUCCCGCCUGGGGAGUACGCACGCAAGUGUGAAACUCAAAGGAAUUGACGGGGGCCCGCACAAGCGGUGGAGUAUGUGGUUUAAUUCGAUGCAACGCGAAGAA
This 830-nucleotide ribosomal RNA is filed under the name Tolypothrix sp. PMC 1145.19. Its description in RNAcentral is "bacterial SSU rRNA". It matches the Rfam family "Bacterial small subunit ribosomal RNA", at positions 106 to 968 of the family's 1533-position model. The record is from RNAcentral. Lineage: Bacteria; Bacillati; Cyanobacteriota; Cyanophyceae; Nostocales; Tolypothrichaceae.